This is a non-coding RNA of Desulfovibrio piger ATCC 29098, 382 nucleotides long. The record is from Rfam. NCBI's taxonomy places the organism in Bacteria, Pseudomonadati, Thermodesulfobacteriota, Desulfovibrionia, Desulfovibrionales, Desulfovibrionaceae.
GGGGGCGCAUUGGUUUCGACGGGGAUGUGGAAACCAAAGUUGCAGGUCGAGGCGCCGCUGGCCUCGUAAAAAGCGGCACAAAAGUAAUUGCCAAUAACGAUUACGACUACGCUUACGCUGCCUAAAAACAGCGAGGCACCUGACCACAUUUGAUGGUCACGUCAGACGGGCCGACGCCUGAUACGUCCGGCUGGCGACAUCGCAUCAGGCUGGUGGAGCUUGGCGCCUGCCGGGAGUUUCCACGAGAUCUGUACCGGCGGGAUUGCUGCUCUGUGCCCGGUCAGGGGCGAGCAGGGUGGUGAAAUUUGUUCCUGACCUAAACCUGUAGACGCUUUGCGUGGAAUGUUCUCGGACGGGGGUUCGACUCCCCCCGCCUCCACCA